UACGGGAGGCAGCAGUGGGGAAUCUUAGACAAUGGGCGCAAGCCUGAUCUAGCCAUGCCGCGUGAGUGACGAAGGCCCUAGGGUCGUAAAGCUCUUUCGCCUGUGAAGAUAAUGACGGUAGCAGGUAAAGAAACCCCGGCUAACUCCGUGCCAGCAGCCGCGGUAAUACGGAGGGGGUUAGCGUUGUUCGGAAUUACUGGGCGUAAAGCGCACGUAGGCGGAUCAGAAAGUUGGGGGUGAAAUCCCGGGGCUCAACCCCGGAACUGCCUCCAAAACUUNUNGUCUGGAGUUCGAGAGAGGUGAGUGGAAUUCCGAGUGUAGAGGUGAAAUUCGUAGAUAUUCGGAGGAACACCAGUGGCGAAGGCGGCUCACUGGCUCGAUACUGACGCUGAGGUGCGAAAGUGUGGGGAGCAAACAGGAUUAGAUACCCUGGUAGUCCACACCGUAAACGAUGAAUGCCAGUCGUCGGCGCGCAUGCGUGUCGGUGACACACCUAACGCAUUAAGCAUCCGCCUGG
Molecule: ribosomal RNA, 517 nt
Filed under: uncultured Alphaproteobacteria bacterium
Lineage: Bacteria; Pseudomonadati; Pseudomonadota; Alphaproteobacteria
Description: bacterial SSU rRNA
Rfam family: Bacterial small subunit ribosomal RNA
Source: RNAcentral